This 82-nucleotide transfer RNA is filed under the name Caudoviricetes sp. RNAcentral describes it as "tRNA-Leu". The record is from RNAcentral. Lineage: Duplodnaviria; Heunggongvirae; Uroviricota; Caudoviricetes.
GCUCCAUUGGUGGAAUUGGAAUACACCUCCGACUUAAGAUCGGAGGCCGAAAGGAUUGAGCGUUCGACUCGCUCAUGGAGCA